GGCUAAGUAAGCUAAGCAAAAGCUAGUGGGUUCAUACCCCGAAAAUGAGAUCUCCUCCUAAGCCC
RNAcentral lists this transfer RNA (65 nucleotides) under Panthalis oerstedi. RNAcentral describes it as "tRNA-Met". The record is from RNAcentral. Lineage: Eukaryota; Metazoa; Annelida; Polychaeta; Phyllodocida; Acoetidae.